This 497-nucleotide ribosomal RNA is filed under the name uncultured bacterium. Its description in RNAcentral is "partial 16S ribosomal RNA". It matches the Rfam family "Bacterial small subunit ribosomal RNA", at positions 28 to 507 of the family's 1533-position model. The record is from RNAcentral.
GAUGAACGCUGGCGGCGUGCCUAAUACAUGCAAGUCGAGCGAACAGACGAGGAGCUUGCUCCUCUGACGUUAGCGGCGGACGGGUGAGUAACACGUGGAUAACCUACCUAUAAGACUGGGAUAACUUCGGGAAACCGGAGCUAAUACCGGAUAAUAUAUUGAACCGCAUGGUUCAAUAGUGAAAGACGGUUUUGCUGUCACUUAUAGAUGGAUCCGCGCCGCAUUAGCUAGUUGGUAAGGUAACGGCUUACCAAGGCAACGAUGCGUAGCCGACCUGAGAGGGUGAUGGGCCAAAAGGGGACUGAGACACGGUCCAGACUAGUACGGGAGGCAGCAGUAGGGAAUCUUCCGCAAUGGGCGAAAGCUUGACGGAGCAACGCCGCGGGAGUGAAGAAGGUCUUCGGAUCGUAAAACUCUGUUAUUAGGGAAGAACAAAUGUGUAAGGAACUAUGCACGUCUUAACGGUACCUAAUCAGAAAGCCACGGCUAACUACGUG